GCUUAAAAUGCAAAUAUGAAAUGGCUUUAGUUGAAAGAGUAGUUAAAUAGCAGUGGUGGAAAAAGUACCCAAUUGUCCUACAUAAAAGUAAGAUACCUUAAUAGAAAAUCAAGUAAAAGUGAAAGUCACCCAGUAAAAUACUACUUAAAUAAAAGUCUAAAGGUAUUUGGUUUUAAAUAUACUGUAAUGAAACGGCAGGGAGCAGGUCUUCGAGCCCGAGGUCCGGCGCGCUAUCGACUGUCCGCAAAAGCAUGCUCGAGCGGCAGAAUCGAUUUCCGCGCUUAUAAACCCAGGUUCGUUACACUACUCCCUCCUUUCAAAGAGCGCGUCCUCGCGCUAGCUUGCGACUCUAGGUCUUACAGGAACGCGCUCACCGGCCAAGCACACGCACUGUCGUGUAUGCAAGGUCCGAUCACUUCUGACACCAGUGUAAUGAAACAGGCAUGGAGCACGUCUCGAACCCUCGACCUUCGAGCCCGCGGUCCGGCGCGCUAUCGACUGUGUCGCAAAAGCAUGUUCGAGCGGCAGCGUCGAUUUCCGCUGAAAACCCAGGGUCGUCACACUACUGAAGUAUCAAAAUUUCUCUUCUCUCUAGAAGAGGAAUGGUUUGGAGCAACCCAUCCUGGAGUGGGAUGGGAGCUCACUCUCCCUGCUGCCCUGGUUGUUUUUGGUGUGAUAUUACUAUGGAGG
Molecule: long non-coding RNA, 690 nt
Organism: Oncorhynchus tshawytscha (Chinook salmon)
Lineage: Eukaryota; Metazoa; Chordata; Actinopteri; Salmoniformes; Salmonidae
Source: Ensembl